RNAcentral lists this non-coding RNA (107 nucleotides) under Viridibacillus arenosi. Its description in RNAcentral is "SAM-I sequence". It matches the Rfam family "SAM riboswitch aptamer (S box leader)". From Rfam's summary of the family: The SAM riboswitch is found upstream of a number of genes which code for proteins involved in methionine or cysteine biosynthesis in Gram-positive bacteria. The SAM riboswitch acts at the level of transcription termination control. Lineage: Bacteria; Bacillati; Bacillota; Bacilli; Caryophanales; Caryophanaceae. RNAcentral also lists the same sequence under 1 other name. The record is from RNAcentral.
UUCUUAUCAAGAGAAGCUGAGGGACUGGCCCUUUGAAGCUUCAGCAACCAGCCAUCUGGUCAGGUGCUAACUCCAGCGGAUUUACAGAUUGUCCGAAAAGAUAAGAA